CCUACGGGGGGCUGCAGUGGGGAAUAUUGGACAAUGGGGGGAACCCUGAUCCAGCCAUGCCGCGUGUGUGAAGAAGGCCCUCGGGUUGUAAAGCACUUUCAGUGAGGAAGAACGCCUGGUGGUUAAUACCCAUCAGGAAAGACAUCACUCACAGAAGAAGCACCGGCUAACUCCGUGCCAGCAGCCGCGGUAAUACGGAGGGUGCGAGCGUUAAUCGGAAUUACUGGGCGUAAAGCGCGCGUAGGUGGCUUGAUAAGCCGGUUGUGAAAGCCCCGGGCUCAACCUGGGAACGGCAUCCGGAACUGUCAAGCUAGAGUGCACGAGAGGAAGGUAGAAUUCCCGGUGUAGCGGUGAAAUGCGUAGAGAUCGGGAGGAAUACCAGUGGCGAAGGCGGCCUUCUGGACUGACACUGACACUGAGGUGCGAAAGCGUGGGUAGCAAACAGGAUUAGAUACCCGUGUAGUC
This 465-nucleotide ribosomal RNA is filed under the name Vreelandella stevensii. RNAcentral describes it as "partial 16S ribosomal RNA". It matches the Rfam family "Bacterial small subunit ribosomal RNA", at positions 338 to 795 of the family's 1533-position model. Lineage: Bacteria; Pseudomonadati; Pseudomonadota; Gammaproteobacteria; Oceanospirillales; Halomonadaceae. The record is from RNAcentral.